UUGAGCCUGUCCUGAGCAGUGUU
RNAcentral lists this unclassified non-coding RNA (23 nucleotides) under Mus musculus (house mouse). RNAcentral's name for it is "oocyte_clustered_small_RNA281". The record is from RNAcentral. Lineage: Eukaryota; Metazoa; Chordata; Mammalia; Rodentia; Muridae.